UUAAUUGAAACCAAAAUAGAGGUAAAUCACUGUUAAUGAUUUUACUGGGUCACCCCCCAAUUAAA
Molecule: transfer RNA, 65 nt
Filed under: Mordellochroa milleri
Lineage: Eukaryota; Metazoa; Arthropoda; Insecta; Coleoptera; Mordellidae
Description: tRNA-Asn
Source: RNAcentral